GGAUCCCAGCGGCCGUCCUGUAGCUGAGCAGGCCUGGGGCUUGGUUCUAUGUCCCUGUGGCUAUGUUUCCAGUGUCCUCUGGGUGUUUCCAAGAGCAACAAGAAACGAAUAAAUCUCUGAUGGAUUUUCCCUCUUGUUGCCCAGGCUGGAGUGCAAUGGUG
Long non-coding RNA from Homo sapiens (human), 161 nucleotides. RefSeq lists it as uncharacterized. The record is from RefSeq and is a predicted model, not a curated record. The transcript has 3 exons. NCBI's taxonomy places the organism in Eukaryota, Metazoa, Chordata, Mammalia, Primates, Hominidae.